UGUUUAAAUGCUCCCCCAAAGCUCACGCUGUACCACCACUGUGGUGGUAUUGGGGUGCUUUCAGAGGUGACUGAUCAUUGGGGAUCUGCCCUCAGGAAUGGUCCAUGGUUUUCACAGGAUUGAGUUGGUUAUCUUCACAUUAUGACACAGUCUUGCAGGCCUUCACCAGAGGCCCAGCAUCAUGCUCUUACAACACCUAGCCCUCAAAGAAGCACCUAUAAAUUACUCAGGCUAUGGAGUUGUGAUAACAAGAGGAAAUGGGUGAAGACAAAGGGCAACACAGGUACAUGUGAGCAGAAGAUUACACAGAAUCACCUCUGUUUAGUGAGGCAUAAAGCUUUUUUUCCAAACAGGUUUCACACAUAUUGAACGAGCACAUACUAUGUGUGCCUCUCUACUAUGGAGUGUUAGGGUACAGGAUAUGCAAGACCCAGUCCCUGCUCUAGGUUGUUUACAAUGUGCCAAAGAGGACCAAGAAGCCAUCUGCCAGGACCCAGGACCUAAUCUUUAAACAGGAUUUCAUUGGACUGAUGGGAGACAGAAAGGGAACAAGAUAAGCAAAGGCCAGAGACUGUUCUAGAGUGGUGGUAUUAGGGUCUGGCUUUAGCUCAGCUACUAAUCAGAUUGCUUCUAAAUUAAAUCCAGGCCUAACCUGCUUGAAUAUCUCUCCUCUAAUUUCCCCAGGAUUGUCCCAUAGGUAUCAAUCUUAAACGCAACUUAGCCAGCCUCACCUGAUCUCUUGUAAAUCCUCCUUCAAUGGUCUCUCUUGGUGAAUGGUACCAACCACGUAUCCAGUUCUCAAACCUGGGGAGUUACUAUACAGCUGUCCAUAUGGAGGCCACUAGCAACAGAUACUGAUCCCAAUCAAACUCUUGAAGAGGAAUUAUCACAGGAUCUUCAAAUCUGGAUGGG
Cricetulus griseus (Chinese hamster) is the source of this 912-nucleotide non-coding RNA. The record is from RefSeq and is a predicted model, not a curated record. NCBI's taxonomy places the organism in Eukaryota, Metazoa, Chordata, Mammalia, Rodentia, Cricetidae.